AUUUGUGGUAAACCAGCAGGAGGCGGGCCCCGGACUCCUGCCAGUGCCGGACAUCAGUCACUCAUGGAGACCCAGCAUCAGGUUCUGGUCCUUCAGGUGAUCCUGGUGUCUCAGAGCAGCUCAGAACUCCAACUCCUCCUUUUCCUGUAGGUCUGUGCUGACAGCUCAGAGCGGAUCCUGGAGGUUCACGCUGGGUUUCUGCACGUAUGAAUGUCCGUCUCAAUGCGAGCCUUCAUGUACUCAGAGAUGGAGGAACUCCUGCAGCUCUGAAAGGCUGCACUGUUCUCCGCCGGCUUCAGGUCGGCGAGGAAACAUCAGAGCACGGAAAGAGACGAGGAUUCUUGAACGGAAGCUGAGGAGGACUUUAUGAGUCAUUCAAAAUGUCCUAAUGAAAUGUUGGUUCCAGCUCUCCUCUCCUGAGUAUGACCAGUUGAAGCUGGAACGCCUCAGAUGUUACAGACCGUGAUCCAACACGCCGUCAGCAGCAUCCUGGGGGGGCGUGGCCUUUUUCUGUGGAUCGACGACAUUUACAGGAAGUGACGUCUCGGCGAGAAAAACAGUCAUAAAGGACUUCUGACCACCGACACCCUCCUGACACCUGGGAGGCGGAGCCUCCACCGCGGGACAGUUCAGGAUCAGUUUUUAAUCCUUUUUUUCUUCUGGUUGACUGCUGGUUACCACAGGAAGCUCUGGGUGCAGAUGAGGAGGAACUGAGAUCCCUGAAGACUUUGAUCUGAUGGAGAGUUUCCUUUCUGACCAAACCUGCAGAAAAACCACGUCUGAUUGACCAAAGUCCUGCAGGAAUCCUUCACAGUUUCACCUGUUGCAGGUUGAUCAUCUGGAAAUGGAUCAUUCCACCAGAUUCACGAACCGGUCCAUGUUCAUGACCCGAAUGAAUACGUCAGGUUCUGGACAGCAGCAGACUCUCAAUUACCCAGAAUCCAUAGCAGCAUAAAGACGUUACUCCCACAGAACCUGCUGAACAAACGAGUCCUGUGGGAACAUCCGUGUUCCUAAAUCAGGAGAAAAAGAUCAAAGGAAACCAGAGAUGACCUCAGAUGACCUCCACCCGCCCUAGAUCAGCUGAUUUCUCUCUAAGUGGACCUUGAUGUUGUUCAGCCUCUCAAACGUCUUUCAGAUCUUUGGUGAUCAUUGUGACGCUGAAUGUUGCUCAUAACCGCAGCUGGAACAUGUUUACAUGCUAGUAAAGUUUGAGUCUGAACUUUAUCUCCAACAUUAGAGUUCAACCUUCUGUUA
Long non-coding RNA from Oryzias melastigma (Indian medaka), 1257 nucleotides. RefSeq lists it as uncharacterized. The record is from RefSeq and is a predicted model, not a curated record. Lineage: Eukaryota; Metazoa; Chordata; Actinopteri; Beloniformes; Adrianichthyidae. The transcript has 3 exons.